CCUACGGGUGGCAGCAGUGAGGAAUAUUGGUCAAUGGGCGCGAGCCUGAACCAGCCAAGUCGCGUGAGGGAAGACGGUCCUAUGGAUUGUAAACCUCUUUUGUCGGGGAGCAAAAGACGCCACGCGUGGCGUUCCGAGAGUACCCGAAGAAAAAGCAUCGGCUAACUCCGUGCCAGCAGCCGCGGUAAUACGGAGGAUGCGAGCGUUAUCCGGAUUUAUUGGGUGUAAAGGGAGCGUAGACGGUGCGCCAAGUCUGGAGUGAAAUGCCGCAGCUUAACUGCGGAACUGCUUUGGAAACUGGCGGACUAGAGUGCGGGAGGGGUAAGCGGAAUUCGUGGUGUAGCGGUGAAAUGCGUAGAUAUUAGGAGGAACCCCGAUGGCGAAGGCGGCUUACUGGACCGUAACUGACGUUGAGGCUCGAAAGCGUGGGGAGCAAACAGGAUUAGAUACCCGGGUAGUC
RNAcentral lists this ribosomal RNA (460 nucleotides) under uncultured bacterium. RNAcentral describes it as "partial 16S ribosomal RNA". It matches the Rfam family "Bacterial small subunit ribosomal RNA", at positions 338 to 795 of the family's 1533-position model. The record is from RNAcentral.